GUGCACAUUUCAUUGACCUGCUUUCUUUAUACGUGAGCAGUGUUAUUUCUUAUGUGCUAUACAGACAGUUGAAGGUUAAUUAGCAGUAUAACUAUAAAUAGUAAUGCUGCCAGUCUCCUUCAGACAAGA
This is a small nucleolar RNA of Otolemur garnettii (small-eared galago), 129 nucleotides long. The record is from Ensembl. NCBI's taxonomy places the organism in Eukaryota, Metazoa, Chordata, Mammalia, Primates, Galagidae.